UCCACGCACCACGUUUUCCUGUGGCUGCACACGGGGACAUUGUUCACGUGAGCCUGAGAAACGGACAGCCCCGGGCCCCGAGACUCCACACGGGCCCACUGUGCACCGACACUCGGCACCCGGACACCCCCCUGCAGCUCAUAUUCUGAUCAAAAGAAUCAUCAUCAUGGAAAAAAAUCCUAACGACCUGAGAUGCUCUAAUUCUCGUGGCUUUUUCAGACGAGGCCCGCUCCCAGGGGCGAUCGCGGCCGUUAAGGCGUCUUGAGAAUGACAUGAUGUGUUACCAUUAUCACAUCAAAGCACAGGCUUUUCAUCCUGGUAGAACAUGUUUUUAUGAUUGAGAAACAAUAUGUAAUAUUUGUUGUUUUUAUCAAAGAAAAAAAGAAAGACGUAUUCAAGGGGCAAACACAUUUUCCAGAUCCCGUGAUCCAUCCGCCAAAGACUAUGAACAUGUCUCGUUAGAUUUAUUACAUUUUUUUUUUUUUUUGGCUGCAACGGAAAAAGAAAUGAAAGUGGAAAAAAUAAUCAAAAUUAAUGACGGCCCUAUGAAGCGACGUGAACUUUCUAGAAAGAAAAGCUGCGUCUAUUCCUAAGUUGUGAAGAAUUUAUAGGAAGGUUAUAUUAUUUUAAAACAUUCCUUCUAGCGACAGAGAACGCGAAGUUUUAUGUUCCUGAGGGUGGAUGAGAGUCAACUUGAUUCGCUGGCCUGGUGCCGCUGUUUCCCAAAGUGUGUUCCUGGGGGCAUCAGCCCCACCAGCUGCUCCUCAGCUGGGUCUGUGGGGGUUGUGCGGGUCAAAAAAAGUCAGAGAAAGCUGGAGCCCAUGUCCCUGCCUGGCAGCCCUAAAACCCAAUGGCAUUCAAGGCUCUGAGAGGUCUUGUAUUAAAGGCUUUGUUCAUG
This is a long non-coding RNA of Myotis daubentonii (Daubenton's bat), 898 nucleotides long. RefSeq lists it as uncharacterized. Lineage: Eukaryota; Metazoa; Chordata; Mammalia; Chiroptera; Vespertilionidae. The record is from RefSeq and is a predicted model, not a curated record.